GGGGGCGACAUGGCUUCGACGGGGAUGAUAGAGGCCAGGGUUGCAGGCCGAGGUGCCGCGGGGACCUCGUUAAACACGCGGCAAAAAAUUAGUUGCCAAGAACAACGAAUACGCAAUGGCCGCUUAGAGCGGUCACGUUUCCACUCGCUGACGCCUGAUAAGCGAAACGGAAGCGCCAAACCCCCAUCAGGCUGGCUCUUCAUGCUCUGUUCCGGGGCUUGAAGGGCGAGACCUCACCGGAACUUGUUUUCAGGGGCCUGUCCGGAGGCAACCCUGAAAACGAGAAUUAAAUCCGGACUAAGCCUGUAGAAACCUUGUGCUGAACAUUCUCGGACGCGGGUUCGAUUCCCGCCGCCUCCACCA
Molecule: non-coding RNA, 363 nt
Organism: Desulfonatronospira thiodismutans ASO3-1
Lineage: Bacteria; Pseudomonadati; Thermodesulfobacteriota; Desulfovibrionia; Desulfovibrionales; Desulfonatronovibrionaceae
Rfam family: transfer-messenger RNA
About the family: Bacterial tmRNA, also known as 10Sa RNA or SsrA, is named for its dual tRNA and mRNA-like properties. Its role is to liberate the mRNA from a stalled ribosome.
Source: Rfam